Molecule: unclassified non-coding RNA, 538 nt
Filed under: Hevea brasiliensis (rubber tree)
Lineage: Eukaryota; Viridiplantae; Streptophyta; Magnoliopsida; Malpighiales; Euphorbiaceae
Source: RNAcentral
AGUAGAGUAGGAUAUGAAUACUCUGUCUAGAUACAAAUAUAAUACCUCUCUAGGUCUAUGGUCCACAAUAGAAACCCCAAUUGCACCCAACUCAACUGUAACUUGUAAAUGAGAUCCAUUCUCCUGCAUCUGGUUCUGUAUGUGAGAACUGCCAAGAUUUCCAACUUCUGCUAGAGACAUGCUCCCUUCUUUUGAACUUAAUAAUGCUGCUCCCUCAUCGAUAAACCUAGCAACCCUGACAUCAGCCAUAUCUAUAACACGGAAAAGCAAGCCUAAUCCAUCACUUUCAGAACAGAACCCUGACUUCUCCAAAUCAAAUUUCCAGACCCUAGAGCUAUUUCCACUGUAAAUCUCAGCAUCAAUAAGUUUUUGGCCAUAGGGAUUCUCCCAUGAAAAGUUUGUGGUUGAAAGAGGGAGUAGCUGGAUCCAUGCAUCAUUGCAAAAUCCAGAUUGCCGAAGUCUAAUGACCUUUCUCUUCGUCCUGUUUUCGAUCCUAAUUGGACCCCUUGUUGAUCCAAGGCGAAAAACAACAAUGAAA